This 741-nucleotide long non-coding RNA is filed under the name Sorghum bicolor (sorghum). Its description in RNAcentral is "long non-coding RNA (SBIC_LNC013260)". The record is from RNAcentral. Lineage: Eukaryota; Viridiplantae; Streptophyta; Magnoliopsida; Poales; Poaceae.
CCUCCUGCGAUAUCUCCACACCACGCCCGCGACGUUCCUCUGCGGAGCCAUGCCCCUGCACCCCCACCCCAUGCGCGUCACACGAGCAGAUGCGGCCGCUGCUUCCGUCUCCCUCCUCCAGUAGUGCGGCGGCGUCCCUAGCGCGAGUCUCUGGUGACCUCCUUCCUCGUAGCCACCUUCGGCGACCCUUCCUCUUCUCCGACCAGCCACCCCCGGCCUCAACUCCGGUGUGGGGAUAGGCAGCGGGCGUAGAUCCAGCACGGGCACAGAUCCAGCGCGGGCGCAUAGCCUAGCUCCGGCAAAAGACGCAUAGCUCCAGUACGGGCGACCAACGCAGCCUCCUGCUCCCCUAUGUUUCUCGACCUCCGGUGGUUCCUUCCCCCACCUCAGCGUCCUUCCUCCCCUACCCUAGCGACACCCUCCCCCCACACCGACGUCCUCCCCCACUGGGAGCCCCCAAUCUCCGUAGAUCUGGCGGCCAUGGCACUCCCUGCGCUAGGAUCUCUCUGCCCACCCUAUGUUGCAAUUGUAUAUUUCAAUUGUUUCAGAAGGUUCAAAGGUGUGUUGCAAUUGAAUCAAAUGGAUGUUGCAAAAGUAGAUCGGAGAAUGUUGUACAUGUUGCCUUUCAAUUGUUUUAAAGGCAUGUUGUAAUAGUAUGUUUUUGAAUGUUUUAGAUGUUUCAGUGGUAUGUUUUGUCUGUGUUUUUUCCAUAGAUGUAUGUUUCAAUUGUGUUUAUUUGGA